CACGUAGGGUGCGAGCGUUGUCCGGAAUUAUUGGGCGUAAAGAGCUCGUAGGCGGUGUGUCGCGUCGGCCGUGAAAACCUGCAGCUCAACUGCAGGCUUGCGGUCGAUACGGGCAGGCUAGAGUUCGGUAGGGGAGACUGGAAUUCCUGGUGUAGCGGUGAAAUGCGCAGAUAUCAGGAGGAACACCCGUGGCGAAAGCGGCUCUCUGGAACGGUACUGACGCUGAGACGCGAAAGCGUGGGGAGCGAACAGG
Molecule: ribosomal RNA, 253 nt
Filed under: uncultured bacterium
Lineage: Bacteria
Description: partial 16S ribosomal RNA
Rfam family: Bacterial small subunit ribosomal RNA
Source: RNAcentral